This 576-nucleotide ribosomal RNA is filed under the name Trichoderma asperellum. RNAcentral's name for it is "eukaryotic LSU rRNA". The stretch from base 197 to 350 matches the Rfam family "5.8S ribosomal RNA". Lineage: Eukaryota; Fungi; Ascomycota; Sordariomycetes; Hypocreales; Hypocreaceae. The record is from RNAcentral.
GAGGGAUCAUUACCGAGUUUACAACUCCCAAACCCAAUGUGAACGUUACCAAACUGUUGCCUCGGCGGGGUCACGCCCCGGGUGCGUCGCAGCCCCGGAACCAGGCGCCCGCCGGAGGAACCAACCAAACUCUUUCUGUAGUCCCCUCGCGGACGUAUUUCUUUACAGCUCUGAGCAAAAAUUCAAAAUGAAUCAAAACUUUCAACAACGGAUCUCUUGGUUCUGGCAUCGAUGAAGAACGCAGCGAAAUGCGAUAAGUAAUGUGAAUUGCAGAAUUCAGUGAAUCAUCGAAUCUUUGAACGCACAUUGCGCCCGCCAGUAUUCUGGCGGGCAUGCCUGUCCGAGCGUCAUUUCAACCCUCGAACCCCUCCGGGGGAUCGGCGUUGGGGAUCGGGACCCCUCACACGGGUGCCGGCCCCUAAAUACAGUGGCGGUCUCGCCGCAGCCUCUCCUGCGCAGUAGUUUGCACAACUCGCACCGGGAGCGCGGCGCGUCCACGUCCGUAAAACACCCAACUUUCUGAAAUGUUGACCUCGGAUCAGGUAGGAAUACCCGCUGAACUUAAGCAUAUCAAUA